Lutra lutra (Eurasian river otter) is the source of this 278-nucleotide long non-coding RNA. RefSeq lists it as uncharacterized. NCBI's taxonomy places the organism in Eukaryota, Metazoa, Chordata, Mammalia, Carnivora, Mustelidae. The transcript has 3 exons. The record is from RefSeq and is a predicted model, not a curated record.
UCUAUUUUCUCUUGAAAGAUGGAAGGCUCUGUACUACUCAUAAUCUCUGGGUCACAGUGGAUAGAAGCUGAUGGUAGCCCACAUUACCUAAAUUUGUGGUCUUUAUUUAAUGUUUCCUUCACUUUUUGAUAUUCCUGCCUGACUUCUGAAGCAGAAAAGUUCAGAAGGACUGGGCUAGUUUUCGAAACCACAGCACACUUUGGCAAAGAGGGAAUGUACAGCAGAACGGAUGACGAAACGGAGGCACGGAGAGAUGAAGCAGCUUGCCUUUGAUUACC